Molecule: unclassified non-coding RNA, 1918 nt
Filed under: Dermacentor andersoni
Lineage: Eukaryota; Metazoa; Arthropoda; Arachnida; Ixodida; Ixodidae
Description: soluble guanylate cyclase 88E-like
Source: RNAcentral
CGCACGCACCACUGGCUCCCUCGUGGCGCGCAUCGGGUACUUUCGCGCCCCUGUCGUGCGCGUCUAGCCGAGUGCAUACCUUCGUGACAACAUCUCCCGCCCGCGCGCCUCUUGGGUUUACCGGGCAUCUCUAGCGAGCCAUGCUCUCAUAAAGCGGCCGCCAUGUACGGCAUGCUUCUGGAGAGCGUGCAGCACUACGUGCGGCUCCAAUUCGGUGAGCCGCUGUGGGAGGCGGCGCUUGCGGAGCUGGGCCAGCACAAUUUUUCCACACACCUGGUGUACCCAGACGACUCCAUGACAAGGCUGGCCGACGCCUGUGCAAAGCGAGUUCCUGGAUGGAGCCGCGACACAUUCCUCUUCUUCUUCGGGCGAUGCUUUGUGCGCUUCUUCAGCCACUACGGCUACGACAAGUUGAUCCGGGCAUCUGGUCGUCACCUGCGAGACUUUCUUGCUGGCAUAGACAACCUGCACCACCAGAUCCGCUUCAGCUACCCGCGCAUGCGCAGCCCCUCGCUGCAGCUGCUGCAGGAGCACCGCGGCGGCGCGCUCCUCCUGUACCGCUCGUGCCGUCGAGACCUCCACUUCUACCUGGUCGGCCAGCUGGUGCAGGUGGCCAGCACCUUCUACGGCAUGCGCCUUCAGGUGCGCGUGCUGAGCCAGCGCAGUACACCGGAGGGUGCCCAGGCGCUGCUGCGGCUGAGCUUCGACAACGCCGCCUUCACGCUGAACGAGCAGCGGCGGCAGCGCGCACAGGAGGGCAUCUCGCUGCCCGACGUAUCCUGGGGAUCGCUGCUGCGGCUCUUCCCGUUCGGCAUGCUUGUGGACCGCUGCAUGCGGCUCCUGUGGCUAGGACACCGACUGCGCAUGGUGUUCGGUCAGGGCGGGGAGACCGGAGCCUGCCCCGGUAGACCCGUGCACGACCUUAUGCGCCUGCACAGGCCCAUGGUGGCCUUCACGUGGGAAAACUUGCUUGCCAAUCAGCAAGUCGUGGUGGAGCUGGAGUGCAUUUUCCCCGAACAGUCGACCCUGCCUUCACGUCGUUUGCUGCUCAAAGGAGAGAUGCGCUACCUGCACGAGUCGGACGUCAUACUAUUCCUUGGGGUGCCACUACUGAGUGGCCUGGACGAGCUGCAGAUGGCGGGCCUCUACCUCGAGGAUCUGUGCAUCCACGACAUGACGCGUGACAUUGUGCUGGCCGAGUGGCAACAUGGCGCCAACCUCGAAGUCUCCUACAGAGAGCAAGAGAGCAAGAGCCGGACACUCGAGGAGAACCUGGUGAGGCUGGACGCAUGGCGCCAAAGGGGCGACGAGUUGCUGUACUCGAUGAUACCAAAGUCUGUGGCCGACAGGCUCCGCCGCGGGGCCCAUCCCGUCGACACAUGCGAGACAUUCGACAGCGUGACGGUGCUGUUCAGCGAGCUGGUCAACUUUCCUAUGGCGUGCCGGCAUCUGAGCCCCAUGCAAGUCGUCAGCUGGGUGAACGCAACAUUUUCUCUCUUCGACUUGAUCACGGAUCGCUACCACGUCUUCAAGGUGGAAACUGUUGGCCAAGUUUACAUGCUCGUGAGCGGUGCGCCUGAACGACGAGAAGACCAUGCCGAACAGGUCUGCGCAGCAGCGCUGGAAAUGCUGUUCUCGUUCCAGGGAAAGCGACAACCCUUUGACCAGCAAGGCACGUUCCUGAGGCUCGAACGGAAGGAUUCACAUCAGUGACAGCUGCCAGAAACUCAUUCGGAAGAAAGGCUUCGUUACUGAAAUUCGUGGGAAGAUUGAAGUCAAGGGCAAGGGAAAGAUGCGCACUCACUGGCUCCUGGAAGGCGAUGUGCUGUCCAGCGCCGCCGGCGGUGGCCGCCGACGCAUCUCGCUGGGCGAAAUGGGACCGCUCACACGAGCCAGGACCAAGCGAGCAUCCAAGUGA